CCUACGGGAGGCAGCAGUGGGGAAUAUUGCACAAUGGGGGAAACCCUGAUGCAGCAACGCCGCGUGAGUGAAGAAGUAUUUCGGUAUGUAAAGCUCUAUCAGCAGGGAAGAAGAUGACGGUACGUGAAUAAGAAGCUCCGUAUAACUUCGUUCCAGCAGCCGCGGUAACACGUAGGGGGCAACCGUGAUCCGGAUUUUCUGGGUGUAAAGGGAGCGCAGACGGCAGUGCAAGUCUGGAGUGAAAGCCCGGGGCCCAACCCGGAAACUGCUAUGGAUACUGUGCGGCUAGAGUACUGAGGGGGCAGGCGGAAUUCCUAGUGUAGCGGUGAAAUGCGUAGAUAUUAGGAGGAACACCAGUGGCGAAGGCGGCCUGCUGGACAGUAACUGACAUUGAGGCUCGAAAGCGUGGGGAGCGAACAGGAUUAGAUACCCGGGUAGUC
RNAcentral lists this ribosomal RNA (440 nucleotides) under uncultured bacterium. Its description in RNAcentral is "partial 16S ribosomal RNA". It matches the Rfam family "Bacterial small subunit ribosomal RNA", at positions 338 to 795 of the family's 1533-position model. The record is from RNAcentral.